CGCUGUGAUUGGUCGAUCGCCUCGGCUCCAUCAUGGCGGUUUGUUAUUCCGCGUGAUAUGAGAGCGGCCGCCGUUUAAACCCUUGCCCUGUCGCGCCCGUCGAUGCUGCGCCAUUUUCGGUGAAUGAACACGACCACCGGUGGAGAUGGUGGGUGUGAGUGUAGUGCAGGUGGCGAAUGGGGUUCGUCACACACCCCUCCCACCUCUCACACACGAGUUACAGCUCAGCCAUGAAGACCACACAAAGGAACUUGACACAUCCUCCCCACCACCUAAAGUGUUGGGGGGAUUUGUUGGAGGGGGGCAGCUUGCUUGGCGAGCCUGUGGCCCCACCUUGGAGGUCAUUGAGCCAACAACAGGAAGGAGAAAAGCUGCAUGGACAUUUGGUGCCAUCAUGCACAAUGCUGAUGCCAGGGUAACAAGUGUGGCUGGUGUUGGGCUUGGGACAAUUUCCCAAGUUGUAGUUGGUGUGGACCUUGGUGCAGACCGAAGACCUCAGGGAAUGGUUGCGCUUUUAUCUCUCCAUUCGUCACGUGUAACUAGAGUAUUUCAUUUUACUUACAAGGUAACAAAUGUGUGUAUGGUGUCCGGUGGAGAAGUGAGUGUGGAUCCGGGCACCUUAUCAGCAGAGUUGCGUCCAUGGCGAGGUCUGUUGGUCGUUGGAACGUCGCAUGGAACACUUCAUCUAGUUGACUUAGCAUUAGACCUGGGUGGUCAUAAGGUUUUGUCUGAUGAGAUCUCUCCAGGAACUUUAGUGAAUAUAACCAUACCAGAUGCCCAAGCAGAGAGUUCCCGGUUCAGUGCAGUUAUGCAAAAUUGCCAUCCAACUGUAUGCUUAAGUGAUGGAAUGAGUCAAAAUGGCCGCUUCCAGCUCAUCGGGCCCGACGACAAUGUGCUUUUUGAGACGGCAAGUCACUGUGUGGUGGUUACUGCCAUGUCCUUCAUCCCACAGCUUGCCUCGCUUGUCAUAGGAUAUAAUUUUGGGGCUUUUCAGAUAAUCAACUUGUCAACUCUAACCAUAGAUUGUGCAAGCCCCUAUGAAGACAACAUGCCUCCAGUACAUUCCUUUGCCUGCCAAGAACCAGAGAAUGACCCCAAGAACUUUGUUUACCUGUGGCUCUGUCGGAGUUGGGGUCCAUCUGAUGAGUCUGAAGGUAAGGAUGGAAGGCCUGCAGGGAGGAACAAAGCCCCAGCAUUGUGCACCAUGUAUACCAUGACCUACGACAAUAAAGUGUGGAUAGAAGGGCACGGACUGUGGUACCAGGGCCUUGCAUCUAUUUCUCCGAGGUUUGAGUUUGAUGCUAUCGGAGGUCUGGGUCUGAAGGGCCAGCCAGCCCAACCCAGCAUGGUGUUCACUGCCAUGACAGUGCGGCAGACAACCCACAAUUCAGCGGUGGCACCGGGAGGAUCUUCAGCUGCUUCGGCACUUGCUACUCCUGAUGAAGAUGCUGGACCAGCACCUGAACAAAGCUUGUCAAUGUUUGGGUGGGUAGGAGGCGUCCUGGAACGGGGGUGUAUUACUGUCAAUCACUACCUGGCUAUCUUUGACAUUAACCAGUGGUAUCAGGCUCAAAUGCCCUCCAAUUUGAAGCUGGAUGAGUCUUUACUGUGCCCAUACAUGAGCUUCCAUGUCUUGGACAGAGUACCUGGAGGAGCCAACGAGUUUGUCCUUGGUGCAGCCCCCAAGCCAGCUUCAUGGACUAGACACAUGUCACGCACUUGUAAUGAUAGUGACUGGUUCCCUGCUGCCCUCUCAUACGAUGCCCAUGUGUUAACUAGUCAAGGUCUGAUGGAAUAUCGAUGCCUGAGUGCUCAGCAGGCAUCCCUGACCUACCUAACUUCCUGUGGGCCCUCUGCAGUCGUGACCCCAGGAGAGGCCCAUGCAAUGUGCACCUUUUCUGGCCUUAUUCCCCAAGACAACCAUAUGGCAACUACAGGAUCUUCUAUGGUUUUGGAGCGUGAAGCCCUUCUGAAUGUCGCUCUGGACCAGCAGUUGGUGUCCCUUUUAGUUCAGUGUGUAGCGGAAUUUUCUGAGGGUCGCUUUACUAACCUCGGAUGCUCCCUGCCAUCUUUACUGGACUGGGCUUGGUCAAGAGUGUGUGCCAUCAAGGCCACCAAUGACAGCCUUAGUCUACCCCUGUUUGACCCAGACUGUGGAGUCAUUAGUGCAGAGAAUAUUACCACUCUUCACCAGAAUCUCAACAGUUUGGCCUCUCUCACCACCGUUGUUACUGCUAUACGGGACUGUGCCAAAACAAACAUGAUAACCAUGAAAGGUGCUGGUGAACUGGAGAGUCGUGUCCAGGUUGUGAGUCUGUUGAUGCUACAUUUGAGUGUUGUUCUGUGGUUUUAUCACUGUGGCCUCCUUUCUCAUAGUCCCACAGAAGAUAUAGAAGAGUGUCAUGUCCCCUUCCCUGCCGAUCUCUUGUGUCGGAUAUACAAGAACAGACGCUCAGAAAUCAAGCGAUUGAGCACCACCCUAAAUGGGGCUGAGAUCCUCAUGAUCGAUGGUUUGUUGGAGGACGUGAAUGGCGGCGGAAGUAUUGGGAAGGCUUGGGAAAAAGAGGGAGGAAGUGGCUUGUACCCUCCUCCUUCCCUGCAUGCCCUGUUAGCUAUCUUCCUACUCCCAGACAUCUCUACCACCACCAAGCACCGCAUUGUCCAGUACCUCUUCCUUGAUCUGGCAUCACUCCUCUCUGAUGGGUACACAAGAGUAGUGGAGGAGUUGGUGAAGUACCCGUCAAGUUUUUCUCUGUCUCCGUCACACAUCAAACUUACACAGGCCUUCUGGCUGCUUGACCAUAAGGACUUUCAGGAGGGACUUAACGUGUUACUGGAUCCACUGGUUAAUGCUAAUGACAUCACACCCGCACAGCAUAGAAGAAUUGUUAAGGCUUUCCUCUAUCAGGGUGAACACACACGGGCACUGACUUAUGCCCAGAUCCGACAGCCUCCAAAGGUGGACUUGGAUGACAUCCGACUGCAUCUCACUCUCCUCUUAGCCAAUGGCUUGAUCCGCGAAGCCUUCCAUUACCAGAGGACUCAUCGAGUUAAGGACAACUCGGAAGAUCUUCUAAAUCAUCUAUACACAGGUUGUGAACAACUUGGGAAACUGGAGUGUGUGGUUCACCUGCCUCUCUCACCCUUGGAAGAGGAUGCUCUUGUGUCCUAUCUGAGGACCUCCUCAUAUCCUGCAGCUCAGGAUUAUCUCCUUGUCUAUUAUCUGCAGAGAGCCAGGUACGAUGAAGCUGCAGUUCUGCAAAAUAGCCUGCGUGGUGGUCUUGGUACUGCCAAAAAGCGACAGGGAGCAAGGUCAGCACUCAUCCAUGGCUAUCUCACACACUUGCCUGAUGUUGCUAAGAAGCUGUCAUCCGCCAACUUGAGCAACAGAGGACCAACACACACAGUCUAUAGCAAACCCCAGCCCCUGUCAGCCCAGAUCCGGCAAGCAGCGUGCAGCCCCAAGACAACUGCAACUAACAUUCAUAAAACGAUACAGCAAGAGCAAGACACAUGGCCAGUAAAUAAGGGUGCGACCACACCCUACACCCCAUUCAGGAGCAGAGCGCAAAGACGUAGAGGGUAUGGACAGCCUGAAGGUCUUGGGUUCGGGGAUAUCAGCUCACCCAAAUUGAGAGAUCCUACCAGGGAGAUAUCCCACACUGUCUUCCCAUCUCGAGUUGAAGCAAGCCAGUUAAGAUACAUUGAUCAUGACGGUGAUAUUGGCCUCUUCAGUCCAACCAUCAAGAGGAGCCGCCAGGAGUUGUCCCUUUUGAAUGAUGAUACUUCAAGACUGAUGGAGUCGGUCCUCAGAAAAAAUAUUCACAGCAGCAUGGACGUGAAUGCCAGUAUGUCUCAAAACAUAUCCUCCGAUUUGCUGUCCUUACUCCAAACCCCAAAAAUUGCCCGGAAGAGGAAGCCUCUGAACCGUUCUGUUGGAGAGUCGCCUCUUACGGACACCCCGCAGUCCAUACUCAAGGUGCGCCAGAUGGUACACAGACCCAUGAGUCCAUCGGCUACCAGCGACACUUCCAUCCCAGUGUUCCCACGAAUUACCAAGAGAGCCAGUAUAUCAGCCAGUGAGGAGGUUGUGACGAACAAAGUCAGCGAUACUACUAUGACUCCCAAGCAACUGCGCUUCCACCUCCCCAAGACGAGAGCAGAAGGAGAGAGCAACAGCAAAGAAGAAGUGCUGGAGAGGGAAGAAGAGGAUGAUCUAGUACCCUUGAAGCUUGAUGAAGAAGAGGAAGAUGCAGAGGAAGAAGAGGAGGAGAGAGGGGAGAGUGAUGAGGCAGUGGAGGAGGAGGAGGAGGAGAAGGAGGGAGAGGAAGAAGAAGAAGAAGAGGAGGAGGAGGAGGAGGAGGAUGUUGAUGAUGAUGAAAAGGAAGAAAUUGAUGAAGAGGAGGAAAAGAUAGCCACAGAACAAGAAGUAGCAGAGGAAGAAUCUAUAGAGAUGGAGGAGGAGGAGGAACCAUCAAGGAAGACAGAAACAGAGGAAGAAGAGAUGAAGGAGGUAGAGGUGGAGGAGGAACCAUCAAGGAAGGCAGAAACAGAGGAAGAAGAGAUGAAGGAGGUAGAGGUGGAGGAGGAUCCAUCAAAGAAGACAGAAACAGAGGAAGAAGAGAUGAAAGAGGUAGAGGUGGUGGAGGAAGAAACAGAAGAAAUGGAAUGCAAUGAUGAAGUGAAAGAAACAAACGGUGGAAAUUGGAUUGCAGUGUCACCACGUCCUGAAAUUCACAAUAAGAAGCUAAGCCCAGUGAGGCGCAAGUCUACUGGAAUCCCAUCGCCACGGCAACCUCUGCCUGGCUACGUGGCCAAAACAACUCAGGGAGAAGCAAUGUUACCCCAGAGCAUCUUCAAGGAGUGUGCUGAUGCAGAUGAAAUGGAUGCAAGCAGAGCAUCUGGGGAUGAAGGAGAUGUUGAGUAUCAAAGCAGGGAGACGACUGUGAAUGAGGACUUUUAUAGCUUCACUGAAGAGGAUGAGUUCAAUAUCUCAGAAAAGUCUGCAACAUCUGUAACAGGAGAUGGGGUGGCCAAGGAAUCUGAUGAUUUGGUUGACAGAGUAGAAGAAAAGGAGCUUGACGUUGAGAAAUCAAGUGAAACAGAAGAGAAAACAGAGUGCAAGCUUGAUCAAGUGCAAAACAAUGGUGGUGGUAUUAUUGAGGUCCAACAGGUAGAAUACUUAGAGGAAACCUCCAAACAGGAAGUCCAUCAUGAGGAGGUGAAGAAAUCUGUUUUGAUUGAGAAAGAGACACACAUCACAAGAGAACUAGAGACCAAAAAGGAAAAGAUGCAACAGCAGCUUAAUGAAUCAGAGCAUUUUGGCACUCUACAGUUUUCCGAUUCUGAAAGCGAAGAUGAAUCGACAACAAAAGCCCAGCCUCAAGAAGAAGCUUCCACUGUGACCAGCCAGGAAUUGGUAUCAGAAGAGAAUGGUGGCAGUGCAGAAAAUGAAGAGGAGAUCAUUGAGAAGCUGUCAGAGGAAGAGGAAGAGAUGAUAGUAGAAGCUCUCUCAGAAGAGGAAGAUCUGAGUCUGGCUCUAGACACAACAGAACGAUUCAGUCCUCUGCGAUUUUCAGAUUCAGAAAAUGAAAAUGAUGAAAAUGAUGGUGGCUCUGAUGGUGAACAGGAGAAAGUUAUUGAUAGAAAUGGAACAGAUAAGACUCUUGUAGAAUUAAGUGAAACCAAAGACAAAGAGGAAAUUAAGGUUGACACUCCGCAGUGGCAUCCUGUAAGCGUGCAGGUUUUCAAAACAGAGAUGGUCUCAGAGACAAAAGUCAUCAGGAAGACUGUAGAAUCUCCAUUACCAAAGGAACCAGUUCUCACAGAGAGCAAAUCAGAAACUAUCAGUGUAGAGAACAAUAACGAAGAAAUUGCGAAAUUUAUUGAAGAGGACGCAUCAAAGAAGGAUGUAGCUGUAACAGAGACAGGAGAACCAGUUGCAAGCCUUGAAGAACAAAGAGUAUCAUCUACCCCGUCUACAAAUGGAUCGUCAGAAGUAAACCACAAAGCAGUAGAAACCAUAUCAUCUUCAGAUAUCUCAGAGUCCUCUACUGGGUUGUCAAAAGAUCAGUUGGAGAAAUCGGGCAUUCCAUCUGCCAUAGACUCCAUGGACAUGGAUGAAGAACAGGGUGAGGUUGGUCAUGAAGAGGGCAAAGAAGUGGAGAAAGACACAGACACAGGCAUAAAGGAGAAUGUUGUUGAGAAAAUGGAAGAAAAGAUGGGUACAUCAGUGGUAGAUAGUGUUGUAGAUUCUAAAGAAAGCAUCUCUGUAGAAAAUGAAAAUAUGGAGACAGAUGAAACCGAUGGGAAGGUAAGUGGUGAAAGUGAGUCCCAGCAGGAACCGGAAGCUGUAGAAAGAGCAGAAGUUGGUAGAUUAGAUGUUACACCACCUGAGGAGACUGAUUCAAAGGAGGAAAAAACUAGUGAUAAGGAAGAUGGUACUGAAAUUAAGUCAGACCUUGUAGAAACUAGAGAUACACAGUCUAGCAAGGUUAAAGAAAUGCUUCAAGAAAUAGAAAGCAGUCCUCCAGAGGAAAGUUCUGAACUUCCUACUAGACCAGAAACACCAACUAGAAAAGCUGAGGAAGUACCAGAAACUUCAAGGGUAGCUUCAGUGCGAAGAAGUCGAAGACUUAGCACAUCAUCACCAGCCACUCCUGCAACCCCAAGGAGAAGCCGACGGACAAGUGGCAGUACAGCAGAUGAACCAGUGACGCCUGCCCACAAGUCUCUGUUAAGUGAAGUUGCCUUUGAAAGGGUGACAAGAUCAGGAAGGAAGAUCGGACAGGUGCCAACGCCCGUUACAAAGAAGCGGGCCACAUCCCCCACAUCUAACCUUGUCUUAUCAGGGAGAAUGCAGAGAAGAGCCUCAGCAGUAGCAGAGGAAGUUCAGAAAGUGACUCAGAGGCUGGAGUUAUCUACUGAUGAAAUUGAAGAGGAACCUGCAGCAGGUCAGGAACCAGAGUCUGUGUCUAUAGCCACUCAUGAUGUCCUGCCAACUCCACCCUCAUCACCAACAACUCCAUCUACAAGGAGACGAAGGAGGCAGAGUUCAGGAGAGGCUGAAGCUUCUGCCACCAAGUCCCCGAUUAGACGUUCUACCAGACAAAGUGCCUUGGAUGAGUCUUUAGGAACAAUUAAAGAAGAAGCAGAGGUAUCAGAGAGUCAAGAGAGUAAGGCCACAAAGAGUAAAACUACCCCUAGGAAAUUAGAAGGUACUCCCACCAAAUCAACACCAACUAAAGCCACACCAACAAGGACACGCAGAAAAUCUGCCAAACAAUCUGCUGUCAUUGAGAGCUUGGAAACAAUUAAAGAGGAUGCAGAACUUUCAACUGGGUUUGUGCCCCUUGUUUUAGAUGAGCAGAUAACAGGAACUCCAUCCCGAAGAACUCGCCGUUCACUUGCAGGAGAGACUAGUCUAACACCUGGCACUCAGACACUUGCAGAGGUUUCAGAGACCACCCCUGAAACAAAGACCCCAUCACGUACCAGGAAAAGGUCCUUAUCAAAGACAUUAGAAGCCACUCCUGAGGUCAAAACUCCUAUGCGUACAAGGCGGCAAUCUGGUGCAUCUGAUGUUUCUGACAUUGCAGGGGAAGCUAAGACACCAACACGAAGGACACGGAAGUCUGUCACAAAGGAAGUGUCAGAAGUCACUCCAGAGAAGAAAACGCCUUCAAGGACAAGAAGACAAUCAGUGUCUUCUGAUGUGUCAGAAGCAGCCCAGGAGGCCAAGACACCAACACGCAGGACACGCCAGUCUAUUUCAAAAGAGUUGGCGGAGACUGUCAAAGAAGCCAAAACUCCAGUGCGCACAAGAAGACAGUCUGCUUCAUCUGAAGUGUCAGAGGCAGCUUCAGAAACCCACAUACCGGCACGUGGAAGACGCCAGUCCAUAUCAGAGGGUAUGACAGAGGUCGUCCCUAAAGCAAGAACUCCCUCACAGAAGAGUCAAUUAUCUCGAUCAGCCAAAAGUACAAGAAGAAGAACAAUACAGGUGUUACAAUCUGAGGAGGAAUCUGCUUUCGAAGCUGCACACCGAUUGAUCUCUGUCCCAUCUCCAGGAUCAGAAAUAUCACAGAGAUCUCCAGAUAGAAUGUCAACCAGAUCUAGCGUCAAUAGCCCACUAACGAGCAUAAAAGACUCAGAGAGCAGUGAAGAAGAAGAGGUGGGCCGAAAGAGAGCAUCUAAGCAAGCAGCUAAGAGAACAGGAAGAAAGUCUUUGGCAGUUGAGAAGACUGUGGAUGAAUCAGCAGUCAGCAAGCGUAAGAGUCGACGUCUCACCAGCAGCACACUCCCAACAGCUAUAGUGAGUGACUUGCCCGAGAAGAUCAAGACUGGCAAGACGUCUCGAAAGUCAGUUGUGUCAUCAAAGCUUUAUGCUGAUACAGAAACAGGGCUGUCCACACCCCCGGAUGUUGGUGCUACCCGUCGUGCGCGGACUUCAAAGAGAGGGAGUUCUGCCUCCACCUCAGUCUUGAUCUUGGAGGAGACAAAGGAGCUGUUGGAUGAAGAAGAGGAGAUGGUCUUGGAGAGUGGGGGGGAUGUGUUUGAAGGUGUAGAUGAAGAAAUAGCAGAAGCUGAAACAGAAGCCCAGGACAGUCCAGAUGUGUCGUACUUGAAGGCAAGCAGCAGGGGCAGAAGGAAGCGAUCCAGCGCCCUUUCUCUACUUUCAGCACCAAAGGAGGGGAGGAAGAUCUCAGCGCUGCCCAAGCGGUCCUUGACAUCCAUGAGAUUGGCAACCGAUUCUUCACAGGAUGAGGAUACAAUGGAAACGAAAGUGAAAAAGACGAAGAAAGCGUCCCGAAGGACCAAAGCAGCAGAUGCGACAAUUCUUGAGCUAGAACCAGAGAGGAGGGACAGUGUUGGAGAUGAGGAGGAGGAGGAACAAAAAGUGGAGAAAGUAGAAAAGAAAAGAAGCACUUGAACACCUGAUGGGGGAAGCAGUGGAAUUCUUGUUUUCUCCUCCUCUAGCGGAAGGAAGGAUUGUUAAAACCCAUGCCAGGAUUGAGGAAGCCAGAAGCAGUUCGAGUGAGUCCGAGACGGAUGCAGCUGUUCCAGAGAAGUCC
This 9074-nucleotide unclassified non-coding RNA is filed under the name Penaeus chinensis. RNAcentral describes it as "protein ELYS-like, transcript variant X7". The record is from RNAcentral. Lineage: Eukaryota; Metazoa; Arthropoda; Malacostraca; Decapoda; Penaeidae.